RNAcentral lists this long non-coding RNA (998 nucleotides) under Chrysemys picta bellii (western painted turtle). RNAcentral describes it as "lncRNA (ENSCPBG00000025352.1)". Lineage: Eukaryota; Metazoa; Chordata; Testudines; Emydidae. The record is from RNAcentral.
CACAUUCCUGGCCAAUGGGAGCUGCAGAGCCAGCGCUCAGGGCGGGGCAAGGCGGUGCACAGAGCCUCCCAGGCAGUCCCUGUGCCUAGGAGUCAGAGGGACACGUUGCCACUUCUGGGAGCCGCACGGAGUCAGGUAGGGAGCCUGCCAGCCCUGACAACUGGACAUUUAACGACCGGAGCCACCAGGGUUCCUUUUUGACCAGGUGUUCCGUUCAAAAACCGGAUGCCUGGAAACCCUAUUUGAAAGGACAGAGAGCCUAGAAACCUGUUCCAGAUAGAUUCUUCUCCCAUUUUGCCCUAACACACAUUACAAACAUACCAGAAGAUAGGGAUAGAAUGAAGGUUGGUAUUGGAAAGGAACAACUAGCAAGGGGCCAAAGCCAGCUUGCCUUACUGACAAAUCAAUAGAUCUAGAGACAUUAUUUAUUAUUAUGUGUUUGUUUAUUAUAGUGACCAUGAUGUGCUAGGGACUUUCCAGACAUUUCCGUGAGCAGACGUGGGACGACACACAGCUGAUUCGCUCUCAGAAGAAAAAUAUUCAGGAAAGGAAAUUUUGUGCUGUUGAUUUGGAUGCCUGCUCCCACCCCUUCCCACCAUCUCACUUCUCUCGCCCUUCCUUCAGGGUUAGUUUCCUGCAUGACACGGGGAAACAAAGAGCGUGGGGGAGAAAUUCUGAGCAAUCACUGCCCUCUCCAUUUCUGGGCAGUGGCGGCAGCAACAGCGAGCUGACCUUAUCUAUAACUGAUGGAUGCUCCCCAUAAAUACAAACAAUGCAGGCAAGCGGCUGAUUUUGCAACUUCUUUGAUAAAACUCCAUGAUUUAGUGUGUAAUACAGUGGAGCUUACUGCGUAACUUCAGUAUAAAACUCAGGAUUUACAAUAGAUCACAUUUAUGCAACUUCACCACCAAACUCUGUGAUUUAUAUGGGGGGAGGAAUUGUGGGUAAAUAUAAAGUACGGUCUCUGCUGGUUUGAGCUGCCUUGUUACAUCUGUGAU